This is a long non-coding RNA of Culex pipiens pallens (northern house mosquito), 7241 nucleotides long. RefSeq lists it as uncharacterized. The record is from RefSeq and is a predicted model, not a curated record. The transcript is spliced from 2 exons. NCBI's taxonomy places the organism in Eukaryota, Metazoa, Arthropoda, Insecta, Diptera, Culicidae.
UUUGAAAAUUUGAGUAUUUUCGGAAAACACGGUGAAUUGUUAAAAUUUAAGUAAUUUUCAGAAACAUAUUCUAUUAAUUAUGAAAAUUUGAGCACUUUUUAAUAAUACGGUAUUUUGUGAUUUUUUUUUUCAUAUUUUCUAAAAAAAACUCCAUUAAGGUAAAAAAGCAAACCAAAUUUCGCUUCGUAUGAUAUGCAUAUUGCACAUUUUGAAAAUGUGAGUAUGUAAUUUCGAAAAAAUACGGAAAUUUGUGAAAAUUUUAGUAUUUUCUAAACACAUAAAAUAUCGUCAUCGUCCGGAUAAAAACGAUAUAACGAUCGUUAUCAUUAUCAAGUCUCGAGAAUUUUAUCGUUAACAACCGUGAUUUACAAAUAUAAUUGGUCUAUAAAAUAAGAAAUUUCAAAACUCGCGAAGAGAGAAGCACGACUGAAUCUCUUUAAAUUUUCGCUUUUGUGAGUUCAGGAAAACUUUUUUGAAGAAAAUUCUUCUUAACUGAAGCUUGAAAAAAAAAUCUAUUUUGAAAAUAUGAAGCACAUUUAACAAUAUCUGACGAAAAUCUCGAAAUUCUCAAAAGAGAGAGAAGAAACCGGGUUUCUCACAAAUUUAUCUCUCGGUUUAUGUUAUUUGAGACGGAUUUUCUUCCGAUCGUCUGCGAAAAAGUGACAGCUUGUCAUGCGGUAUCUAUCAAUUCUCAUAAACACAUAUUAGUUUGGUUGAAAUCGCUCCCGAAAAUCUCUAAACUCGCAAAAGAUUGAAGAGAGAUUCUCCUUCAAUUUUAUCUCUUUUGAUAUUCUGGCAUCGCUGAUGAUAGCUCUUUUGCAAGGUGCUCACAUACACUACCAAACAUUUGUUUUGAUGGCUUCAAGAUUGUUUUGUAAACGUUACAGAGACAAGGCAAAAUUUAUUUUAAUUUCAAUUUGGAAUGAAAACUCAGGAAACUUUUCAGAAGAAUCUUCACGGAUAUUUACUAACAUUGGUGGUUUAUAAAAACUGAUAUGACGUUUUAUUUUUGACUGUUCUAGUAAGAUAGAAAACUCGUCCAAAAAUCUCGAAACUCGCAAAAGAGAGAAUGGAUACUGGUUCGCUUUCAAAUUUCUCUCUCAGUUUGAGUUGAGACAACCUCCAAAUUCACGAAAGAGUGAAGAGAAUUUGGCCCUCUCUUAAAAUUUUAGCUUCGCCUUUUAAGAAGUGCUCACACAUACUAUCAAACAUUUGUUUUGAUAGUUUGCUGACUGUUGAGUAAAAAAUGGAAAUUUGAUUGCUCUUUUUUUGCUGACACUCAGAUAAAUUGUUUUAAUAAGCUUAUAAAAUAAGUUGGAUGACUAAAUAAUUUCGCAAAAAUUAGUCACUCUCUUGUUUAAGGAUUUACUGGUUCCCAUUUUCACAGUGUGUGUAUUUUAUCAAAAGGUGGUCAUUAUUAACGAUGUAUGUAUUGGUUGUAACUCUGCUCUAUUUAGGUUCUAUUGUUUCAAUGAGUGUAUGGCUAUGUGUGAGUGUGUGUUGCAUUCCGCCUGUCGCCCACAACUGAUUUUGUAUCUUUUGUUUAAGUAGGAAUUCUAUUUAGUGUUAUGUACUUGCUUUGUUUAAAUCUUCACGUCGCCAUCGUACUUUUUUCGUCGCUUUAUUUACUGAUUUACUGCUUGCGCACUUUACUAAUUAAAAUAUUCACAUUUAUCAAAUUGAUGUAAAUUGCGUAGAAAAUGUUUCAUUCCCGUUUUAAGUUCAUUCAUUUUUUUCUUCUCUUGUCUUCUCUCUGGGUUUUAUUUUUGUGAUGUUCGUUUUUAAGGGGCAGGGGAGGUCACAAAACGUGAAUUUAAUUACUGAUUUUUCGUUUUCUUUUUUUUAGUUCAAUGGAUUUUAAACGCUCGUCACACUACGUUUCGAUUCGGAUUCUGACUGGUUUUCAGUGUUUUGUUUUUGUUUUGUAUUUCUCAAGAAAUUGGAAGGAAGCAAAAGAUGGGAGUUCGUGUGUAUAAAAAUCGUAUUAAAUGGUGCUGGUGGUGGUAGUUUUUGUAGCUCGAAAAUAAACAAUUCAACGGUGUAACAGUAUUGGUGGAAUCGAUUCGAUUGCCUCGUUUGCGUUUAGAUUUUUUUUUAUUUGGUAUUCGUGUGAAGUGUGUGUGUGAGUGGGACUUUGGAGGUUGCUCUGCAGCUGCGCACGUGUGUAUUAGUGUGUUAGGAGUGUAAAAAUUAGUCUACCUUAAAAAAUGCCUUUUACACAAUCGUUUGUAUCGUUCGUUCGAUGGGGAAAAUUAUCGCAAUAUUGGUUGCAGUCUAGAAGUAUCUGUGUGGGAGUGUUGAGUAAAGUCGUAUUGUUUCAAUGUAUAGAGCAAGCUUCGUUCGUGCUGGUCGACUUGGGCGGUCGACGGAGCUGAUUCUUAAACUUUCUUCUUUUCAGUGACGGGAAGGAGGGGUGCUCUAAGCGAUUUUGACUAUUUGAUCUUCAAUUACGUGAUUUUUUUUUUGUUUUACUGAUAUGGUACAUUUUAGUAUUUUUCCAAGUCGGAUUUAAUGAUUCAAUUUCUCGCAGCUCUGCGCUCGCCGAUUUGAUUUCCUUCGUUUAAUUUACUUGUUCGGAUUAAAGUGUGCUGAUUUUGGCAACGUGAGACGAUAUUUUUUAAGUGUGAUUCUUUAAUGUGUUUGUUUAAUGCUGAACUCUUUUUCGGGACUGAAAUUUUCCUCCGUGUUUUCUUUUUUGGCACAGUUUUCCAGUGCACGUGGUCUUUUCUGUCACUUGACAGUACUACAGUGUUUGUGUCUUCUCUUUUUUUUCAAGGGGAGCGCCAUCUAUGGCCGCCUCCUACCUUCACAGUAUCUCUAUUAGUGUGUGUGUGUGUUUCAUCCAAAAGGGGUUCGCUCACUCAACAAUGUUCGUGUGUUUUUUUGUAAUUGAUUAUAAUCAUUAAAUUGGGUUACCUCUUAACAUAUAGUCAACUUUACAAUUUGGUUUACUGUACUAUUUGAAAAUUCAUAGAAUUUCGUAAAUAUCUGCUCAGCGCCACUUUUCACUGGGAAACCGUCGUCGUUCCUCGUCGUCCUGCGCCGUCCACAUCCUGCCACGAGGGGUCCUCCAAUCCAGCAAGUUGGCUUCCCGUGGAAAAAGUUCCUUUUUUUGCUGAGUAACUUUUGCUGCAAGGGUUCACUUUAGCGCUCACCCUUACAUACUUGUUUUAUCUUCUUUCAAUUAACUACCACUUAAUUAUUAAUUGAUUUAAAUUGUAUCUCCUUUUUGUGCUUUCAAGUUCGUGAUUUAAUGCCUCAAUUGUUUUCUUUUAAUACUUGUUUUAUUCAAUUAUUUAAUGUCUUACUCUGUCUGUGGUUUUACUUUUUUUUAUUUCCCUCACCCAGCUAGUGGAUUUGAUCUUCGGGAGACUUUCACUAAUACCUUUAAACCUCUUGCUAGAAUUACGCUUAAACUAUCAAAACGUGAUGAAAAUCAAUCCGUCAACAAAUAUACCCACUUUUUUGUACGAAAACGAAAUUGUUCUAGUUUUGCUUUAAAUGUUUACCUUCUCUUUUUUUUAAACUACAUUUAUAGGAAAAUGGUUCAGUACUGCUUUGUUUGUAUGCUUUUAUUAAUUCUUCCCCACACUUUGUUUUGGUUCCAUCUGGCCCUAACUUCAUCGCAACAAAACCACAACAAAACUGUACAGAACUGUCACCGUUUUGCUGGCAACCGCCCCACUGCAGUGCUGCCUCUUGUUCUUCUUUUUGUCUUAUUAACCUUAUCUCAGCGAAUGUAAAUUGUUUACAUUUAAUAAGAAAUGCGACUGUUUUGUUUUGGGUUUUCGUGUGUGUGUUUUUUUUGCUUUGUUUAGCUCAGCUUUUUUUUCUUACAGAGCAAAGGAACUCGGAGCGCGGUGGAGCUGACAGGUGAGUUGGUUGGUUGGUUGAGGGUUAAUUGUAGUUUCUUAAAAAAAAUCACCCAUCUCAAGGAAGAUCUGGAAGCCUUGUCUUAAGUUAUGGGUACCCAGUUUUUUAUGAAGAAUGUUCUGAAAUUCAUUAAAAUAAUUUAAAAAAAAACUAUUUAUUCUUCAAUUAAAAAAAAGAUCUGGCAACACUGUUUUACAGUAACUUUGCCUAAAUUGAAUUCAUUACAAUUUUUAAUGUUAGAUGUUGAAAAUUUUCCACAUCACUAAAAAGUUGUCAAAAAUAAUUUCUCAUAUGCCAAAACCAUUGAAAAUCUGGCAACCCUGUUUUGAGAUUUCAGCACUAAAUUUAUAAAUAGGAUAAGAUGCUAUAAAUUUUAUUCAAAACACCAUUCAAACUCCUACUUUCAAACAUUCUGGAAACACUGCUAAGAAAUAUCGAUACCAUUUCGAUUCAAAGUUUCUUGAAAAUGUAAAUUAAACAAGAGUCUGAACAAGGUUAAGUUUUGAAUGAUUUUCAAAAUUUUGAAAUUUUAUCUGUUACUAUCACUAGCAAGAAGCACGUAAAAUUUAUUGUCUGAGUUUGAUCUUUUUGAGAUCUGCUAUUCAAAGUAGUCAAAUUAUGAAGUGUAAAGCAAUUGAUGUCAGAAAUGUAUAAAUUUUCCGUUAAUUUUGAAAUAAUUUAAUCACCAACUUAUAAACUGAUCAACUUGGUUUAUGGCUCAUUUUAAAAAACUUCAAAAUUAGUGGAAAUCUCCCACUUUUAUCAUUUUGUAACUGUGAUUUGCAUUACCUCGAUCGUUUAACCACCUUAAAAUUCAACAACUCCUCCUCAACUUCUUGAAAAAGAACACACCACCAAAAAAUCAGCACCUACUUCCCUACCAAUUUCAAACCUGUGCCAAUGUCACUCCAGAUAUUCAAUGAUUUUUCAUUUCUCCAAUACAUUUAGUGUAGUUUUGUUUUGGAUUAAUUGUAAGUAAAAUGAUGCAGAAAUUACCCUCUCGAACUGCAGUCCAUUGAGCCCGAAUGGACUGUAGUUUCACCCGAAUAAUGGCGCUCAUUUUGUGUGUGCCCCUUAAAUGCUACUAUUUACAGAGAUUUUUUUGUUUAAUUUUAGAUUCCGACGAAAUAACUAGCUUUGUUUAAAUUCCUCAGUUUGAUUGAAUGGCGAUGUGUUUUUUUGGGAGUCGAUGUGAUUUGUUGAUUUGCAAGAAAGUUGUCAGAUUUUGGUAAAAAUAAUGAUUUUUUAUCCGGUUUAAGUCAUCAUGACACCUGCUAUUGACAUUUUUUGUAACCGUUUGAUCAUUUUAAAAGUCGAAGAUCAAAAAGAAACAAAAUCUCCAGAGAAAAUAUACAUUUUUAACAAAAACUGCUUUAACUUUAAAAUUUGACUGAAUCAAGCAGCACAACUCAAAUUGAGCAAAGUCAGAAGAACAAAUUUGUCAUGCUUCAGGUUAAUGACAGUAGCAGAAAAUAUCUAAAAUAUUGAAAACAUUUCAAGUGUAUUUUACCCACCCACACAUUAGGCCACUUUACCCUAAUGUUCAACACUAGUGUAUUUUACCCUAAUUCUCAAGAACAGAUCACUUUACCUUAAUGUUCAACAUUUAAAUAUUGUUCCUUAAUGCCCAACAAUAGGUCAUUCUACCGUAAUGCUCAAUACUAGAGUAUUUACCCUAAUAUUCAACACUUGAGUGUUUUACCUUUACGUUCAACACUAAAGUAUUUUACCCUAAUGUCCAACAACAGGUCACUUUACCCUAAUGUUCAACACUUGAGUAUUUUACCUUUACGUUCAACACUUAAAUAUUUUACCUUAAUGUCCAAAAAUAGGUUACUUUACCCUAUUAAUCAACACCAGAGUAUUUUGCUCUAAUGUCCAACACUAAAGAAUUUUACCCUUAUUCCAACUUGAAAAUAUUUCAUGUGUAUUUUACCCUUAUGUCCAACAAUAGGUAAAAAAAGCAAAGCAAUCCACUUGAACGAUCCCCUGGUCUUUUGUGGCAUCUGUUGCAAGUUUCUGCUCAUUUCUUGGUCACUUUACCCUAAUGUUCAACACUAGAGUAUUUUACUUUAAUUACCAAUACUAGAGUAUUUUACCCUAAUAUUCAAUAACAGGUCACUUUACCUUAAUGUUCAACACUAGAAUAUUUUACCCUAAUGUUCAAAAACAGGUACCCUAAUAAUCAACAAUUGAGUAUUCUACCCUAAUGAUCAACCCUUGAGUAUUUUAUCCUCAUGUUCCAACACUAAAUUAUUUUACACAAAUGUCCAACAAUAGGUCACUUUACCCUCGUGUUCAACACUAGAGUAUUUUAACCCUGAAGACCAAUACUAGAUAAUUUUAACUUAUAUUCAAUAACAGGUCACUUCACCUUGAUGUUCAACACUAGAAUAUUUUACCCUAAUGUCCAACAACAGGUCAGUUUACCCUAAUAUUCAACACUAGAGUAUUUUACCCUAAUGUUCAACAUUUGAGAUUUUUCUUCCCUUAUGACCAACACUAAAGUAUUUACCCUAAUGUCCAAAAACAGGUCACUUUACCCUAAUGUUCAACAGUAAAAUAUUUUAAUUGUACAUUUUUGAAGAAAAGAAUACUUUUUUAAAUUUUAUUUUUAUUGUAUUAUUUUCAUUUUUUCUAGCCCUUGAAAGUUUAUUAACAAUUAAAAAAUUGCAUGGGAUUCAGAUUUUUAUUGAAUUUUUCAAUUGAAUAAGGUAAACCAAAUUUUGAUAUAUUUUUUAUUUUUCACGGUUAAAUGAAACUAAACCAGCUCGCCCAAACCCACCAAUCGGCUCAACCCGUCGAUCUCAGCUGUCUCCAAACGAGUUCAACGCGUCUUAUAGUGUCUCUCCGGGAGAGGAUCAAAUCUCUCCCGAAUCCGCUCAGUUGUUUUGCUUCAUUUUUUUCUUUGUCUCUCUUUCCCUUUCCUCGCCGUCGUCUCGCUCAGUAAUAAUUACAGUACUUUAAUCAAUAAUUAUUCAAUAAUUAAUAAUAAUAAUUUAAAUAUACUUUUUUUUAUUAUAUAUCACAGUCGUGCUGCUGUUGAUAAAUUUUUUACUUGACUUUCAAUUGUUUUCUCUUCUCUCGCUCUUAAAAUCAGCAUCGGUCUUUGAGAGCGUGUGUGUGUGUUGGCCCAAGCCCAUUGUUCUCGCGCUCACUGCGUUACAUUUAAAACUUUCGCUCUCCUCUUUUACUCUGCUGCGUCUUGCGUUCUCUCUCUCUCUUUCUCAUUCUAGCUUAAUUUCUGCGCUUGCUUCUCGCAUGGUUCCUUGGUUGUUUGAUCCAUUAUUUGACACUUUCCGCAUUUGCUUAAUUUUUUUGCUUGUUUUCUUUUUUUGAUAAACGUUACUACACAAACUCGAAAGAAG